Molecule: ribosomal RNA, 465 nt
Filed under: uncultured bacterium
Lineage: Bacteria
Description: bacterial SSU rRNA
Rfam family: Bacterial small subunit ribosomal RNA
Source: RNAcentral
CCUACGGGACGCACCAGUGGGGAAUAUUGCACGAUGGGCGCAAGCCUGAUGCAGCCAUGCCGCGUGUAUGAAGAAGGCCUUCGGGUUGUAAAGUACUUUCAGCGGGGAGGCAGGCGAUAAGGUUAAUAACCUUGUCGAUUGACGUUACCCGCAGAAGAAGCACCGGCUAACUCCGUGCCAGCAGCCGCGGUAAUACGGAGGGUGCAAGCGUUAAUCGGAAUUACUGGGCGUAAAGCGCACGCAGGCGGCCUGUCAAGUCGGAUGUGAAAUCCCCGGGCUCAACCUGGGAACUGCAUUCGAAACUGGCAGGCUGGAGUCUUGUAGAGGGGGGUAGAAUUCCAGGUGUAGCGGUGAAAUGCGUAGAGAUCUGGAGGAAUACCGGUGGCGAAGGCGGCCCCCUGGACAAAGACUGACGCUCAGGUGCGAAAGCGUGGGGAGCAAACAGGAUUAGAUACCCCUGUAGUC